GAUGAACGCUGGCGGCGUGCCUAAUACAUGCAAGUCGAGCGAACAGACGAGGAGCUUGCUCCUCUGACGUUAGCGGCGGACGGGUGAGUAACACGUGGAUAACCUACCUAUAAGACUGGGAUAACUUCGGGAAACCGGAGCUAAUACCGGAUAAUAUAUUGAACCGCAUGGUUCAAUAGUUAAAGACGGUUUUGCUGUCACUUAUAGAUGGAUCCGCGCCGCAUUAGCUAGUUGGUAAGGUAACGGCUUACCAAGGCAACGAUGCGUAGCCGACCUGAGAGGGUGAUCGGACAUACUGGAACUGAGACACGGCCCAGACUCCUACGGGAGGCAGCAGUAGGGAAUCUUCCGCAAUGGGCGAAAGCCUGACGGAGCAACGCCGCGUGAGUGAUGAAGGUCUUCGGAUCGUAAAACUCUGUUAUUAGGGAAGAACAAAUGUGUAAGUAACUAUGCACGUCUUGACGGUACCUAAUCAGAAAGCCACGGCUAACUACGUG
This 497-nucleotide ribosomal RNA is filed under the name uncultured bacterium. Its description in RNAcentral is "partial 16S ribosomal RNA". It matches the Rfam family "Bacterial small subunit ribosomal RNA", at positions 28 to 507 of the family's 1533-position model. The record is from RNAcentral.